AUUGCUUCUCUGCCUUUUGGCUAAGAUCAAGUGUAGUUUGUCAAUAUCUAGAAAGUAACUUGCUGGAAUUUUGAUCAGGUUUGCUUUGAAUCUAUUGAUCAAAUUGAGAAGAAUUGAUAUCUUAAUAUUAUUGGUUGGGUCUUUCUAUCC
Molecule: small nuclear RNA, 150 nt
Filed under: Suricata suricatta (meerkat)
Lineage: Eukaryota; Metazoa; Chordata; Mammalia; Carnivora; Herpestidae
Description: U2 spliceosomal RNA (ENSSSUG00005006559.1)
Rfam family: U2 spliceosomal RNA
About the family: U2 is a small nuclear RNA (snRNA) component of the spliceosome (involved in pre-mRNA splicing).
Source: Rfam by way of RNAcentral